GAAAUGCGAUAAGUAAUGUGAAUUGCUUCUCCGUGAAUCAUCAAAUCUUUGAACGCACAUUGCACUCAUUGGUAAUCCGAUGAGUAUAUCUGUUUGAGAAUCAGUUUAACUAUCAAUGCUUUGCUUAGUUGCCAAACAUUGGAAUUGGGACUCGUUGAUUUUAUCAAGGGACCUUGAAUAUAUUUGUAAAUGAUUUUUUUAUCAUGGCAAGACCAAUGAAGAAAUUCUUUGACUGCUCUUGAUGAAUAAUUAUUAAAUAAAAUACGGAGUAAAAUCCAAGACUUGAUCUCAAAUCAGAUAAGACUACCCGCUGAACUUAA
RNAcentral lists this unclassified non-coding RNA (320 nucleotides) under uncultured fungus. Its description in RNAcentral is "sequence contains ITS1". The stretch from base 1 to 103 matches the Rfam family "5.8S ribosomal RNA", at positions 50 to 154 of the family's 154-position model. The record is from RNAcentral. Lineage: Eukaryota; Fungi.